UGGGGAAUAUUGCGCAAUGGGGGAAACCCUGACGCAGCAACGCCGCGUGAAGGAUGAAGGUUUUCGGAUUGUAAACUUCUUUGAUGAGGGACGAACACAAUGACGGUACCUCAAAAACAAGCCACGGCUAACUACGUGCCAGCAGCCGCGGUAAGACGGAGGAGGCAAGCAUUGUCCGGAAUUAUUGGGCGUAAAGAACACGUAGGCGGUUAAUCAAGUCAUAUGUGAAAACCUUGGGCUUAACUUAAGGAUUGCAUAUGAUACUGGUAAACUAGAGUAUAGUAGAGGAAAGCGGAAUUCCUGGUGUAGCGGUGAAAUGCGCAGAUAUCAGGAAGAACACCAGUGGCGAAAGCGGCUUUCUGGACUGUUACUGACGCUGAGGUGUGAAAGCUAGGGGAGCGAACAGG
Molecule: ribosomal RNA, 407 nt
Filed under: uncultured prokaryote
Description: bacterial SSU rRNA
Rfam family: Bacterial small subunit ribosomal RNA
Source: RNAcentral